UGAAAUCAAAAGAUCCUUUCACCAUUAACGAUUCCUCCUUAGAAAAUUUAGGCAAUCGUUUCCCCACACGAGCAACCAUAUCAGCUGGAUACGUACCAGACUUCAGUGGUUCCAUAAACCAAUCAUAUUGGAAAGCAAUGGCUCGGGAUGCUGCACUAAAGUCUCUACUUGAGUUAGUCAAGGGUAAAAUCCAUUGACAACUUAGAGUAAUUCCAAUUUGACCCAUUUGAGACAUCUGG
RNAcentral lists this unclassified non-coding RNA (239 nucleotides) under Hevea brasiliensis (rubber tree). The record is from RNAcentral. Lineage: Eukaryota; Viridiplantae; Streptophyta; Magnoliopsida; Malpighiales; Euphorbiaceae.